CCGUUUCCUUAGUCCAUAACUCCAUAUGCAAACUUAGCCAAGAAGAGUCAACGGCACGUAAACCAGCGAAACUGCAACUGGUUUUCACACGCCUUUUCAUCACAGCCGUCCAUUCCCAUCAACAUCCGGGCUUUCUUCCCCGUCUAUAAAUAAAGAGAGGUUUUGCGGUUGUUUCAACCACCAUUUGAUCACUUUUUCAUUGACGACCGAAAGGUGGGUCUCUUUUUUCAAACUUCGACGACUGCGUU
This 248-nucleotide unclassified non-coding RNA is filed under the name Hevea brasiliensis (rubber tree). Lineage: Eukaryota; Viridiplantae; Streptophyta; Magnoliopsida; Malpighiales; Euphorbiaceae. The record is from RNAcentral.